Molecule: long non-coding RNA, 76 nt
Organism: Xenia sp. Carnegie-2017
Lineage: Eukaryota; Metazoa; Cnidaria; Anthozoa; Malacalcyonacea; Xeniidae
Exons: 3
Source: RefSeq, a predicted model, not a curated record
GGUAGACAUAAAGGUAGACAUAAAGUUAGACAUAAAGCUAGACCCAAAGGUAGACAAAAAGAUAGACAUAAAGGUA